RNAcentral lists this long non-coding RNA (594 nucleotides) under Salvia miltiorrhiza (redroot sage). RNAcentral's name for it is "long non-coding RNA (SMIL_LNC003741)". The record is from RNAcentral. Lineage: Eukaryota; Viridiplantae; Streptophyta; Magnoliopsida; Lamiales; Lamiaceae.
CAGAACCGAGGAGACCACUGGAGCCAGAGGGACCCCGCCUCGUCAACAGCGAGAGCGUAAUGUUGUUGGCGGAGAUGAAGGAAGUGAAAGACGAGCUGCUGAUGCUGAGUGCGGAGAUCACAACCCUGAGGGAGGCUAUGGAAGCUGGCUUCAAAGCAAUCAUAGACCGGCUGAAUGCGGAGGCGAGAUCCUCCGACCAAAACGACUAAGUCUUUUUUCCCCUGAACUCGUAGAUUAGGUUUUAUUUUAUCUUUUGUUUUUUUCUUGUUUUAGCGUCUGUUUUGUCUGUGUUAGAGUCGAGUCUACUUGCAUCGUUUGAUGGUGAAAGAUUGUGCAUGCUGAAUUCUGUCUUGGUAUGAUUGGUGGAUUGAGUAUGAAAAUGCAUGAUGGUAGUUGUGAGGAUACUGAAAAUACCCACCGGUGAGAUCAGGGCCAAAUUGAAAAAUGCAUGCUUGUGGUGAGAAUUUGCUGUGACUAGGAAAUCUUGACUUUGUUUGAGGACUCAAUUUUGCUAGUACAUGACUUGUGUGAUUUGGGCACGAUUCUUUGACUUAGGGCCCCAGAUUAUUCUUUGAUGUGCAAUGUGAAAAAUAA